RNAcentral lists this ribosomal RNA (437 nucleotides) under uncultured bacterium. RNAcentral describes it as "partial 16S ribosomal RNA". It matches the Rfam family "Bacterial small subunit ribosomal RNA", at positions 29 to 507 of the family's 1533-position model. The record is from RNAcentral.
AGCGAACGCUGGCGGCAGGCUUAACACAUGCAAGUCGAGCGGGCAUCCUUGUGGUGUCAGCGGCUGACGGGUGAGUAACGCGUGGGAACGUGCCCUUCGGUUCGGAAUAACUCAGGGAAACUUGAGCUAAUACCGGAUACGUGCGAGAGCAGAAAGGUUUAUCUGCCGAAGGAUCGGCCCGCGUCUGAUUAGCUAGUUGGUGAGGUUACGGCUCACCAAGGCGACGAUCAGUAGCUGGUCUGAGAGGAUGAUCAGCCACACUGGGACUGAGACACGGCCCAGACUCCUACGGGAGGCAGCAGUGGGGAAUAUUGGACAAUGGGGGCAACCCUGAUCCAGCCAUGCCGCGUGAGUGAUGACGGCCUUAGGGUUGUAAAGCUCUUUUCUCCGGGACGAUAAUGACGGUACCGGAGGAAUAAGCCCCGGCUAACUUCGUG